This 19395-nucleotide long non-coding RNA is filed under the name Hordeum vulgare. Its description in RNAcentral is "long non-coding RNA (HVUL_LNC008954)". The record is from RNAcentral. Lineage: Eukaryota; Viridiplantae; Streptophyta; Magnoliopsida; Poales; Poaceae.
AAACUAUUCAAUCCAUUCAUUCAUUCAAUCAAUCAAACAUUCCCUUAGUCAUUUCAUUUCCCUCUCCUCGAAAACAAGAAACAAAACUAAAAUAAAAGAUAGCAUCUCUCUUUCUCUCUCUCUCUCUCCCUCUCUCUUCAAUGGCGGAUACAUCCGGACGAGCCGAGCACAGCGGCAGCCGGCCUAGACGACGGUGUAGAGGAUGAUCUUCGUGGCGUCGACGGCGGCGCGCUGCUGCCUCUUCAUCAUGGCCAGGGCGCCGGCAACCGUGCCUCCCGCAGGCACCAUCCCGCCGCCGUCGCCGGCACCGGGGGCGGCCGAGGAGGCGGGAGGGUGGUAGUAGAACCGGGCCGUCUGCGGACAGUGGGAGUGGAACCGCACCGCGAUGCGCACCCCCAUGUCCAGUAGCUCCACGUACUUCCCCAUGGAUCUCGCUCGAAUCUGGCCUCCUUCCUCUCUCUCUCUGCUCGACGAAGAUUGAUGGCCGGGACGGACGGACGGAGAGGACGGAGAGGGCGGCCGGGAACUGGGAAGGACGGCGGAGCGGACGGCGGUGCUAGGCGGUGGUCUCGUGGAACGGGGAGGCCCAGGAACUGGCGGCGGCCAUGGGAGGGGUGGAGGAGAGCAGGGGCGCGAGAGUCGUCGUCGGCACGUGCGCAUGCGCCCGCGCCCACGGCGGCGGGGACAGAGACGGGCGCAGGUAGAGCGUGAGCCCGGCCGCCGCCAUUUGGUUGACUAGGUUUGAUGGAGCGCGGAUGAGCGCAAUCGGAGAGGCUGGACGAGCGAGCGAUGUGGGCGGGGGCGGGCGACCUGGGCGAGGCGGGCGAGCAGGGCGAUUGACCAAGAGACGACGUGGGGUGGGCAAUUAGCGUUAACGAAAACUGUUUAGUUUCGUUAACGACGUUUUUAGUCCCUUGAUGGUGUAAUCAGACGGUCCAGAUCUAUAGUUGGAUCUGCCCUCUCGUGCUUUUAAUAGUACAGAUGUGCCAACAACUGAAUAACCAACACGUGCUUGCUAUCAGGAGAACAAGCACAUUGUAGCUUGUCGAUGAGCUCACCAACAUAAGCACAUAAACUGCACCAUAGACAAAAUAUCCAACACCCUCUAGUAGUUGCACCUACCAGCAGGAAUACAACAUCGCAGACUUGUAACUGAUUUCAUCUCUAUGUAUUGCUUUGAAACCCCUCUUUGCGUGUUGAUCAUCCGGUGGACGCCAAAACUGCAGAUGUGUACCAAACAAACAACUAAAAGGCCUCAUCCCCAGAUCAGUCCAUACGCACUCAGCCUCGCAUUCCAGAGGUGGGUUGUCAAGGACAAAGCUUUCACGAUGGUAUUGAUCUAGGUUGCUGGCAAUCUGAGCUCCCUUGGUGGCACACUGAUGAUAUGACAAUGUUGAUGCAGUACUCAGGGGGUCAACGAAAACAUCAACACUGUGAGCAGCAUACAUUGGUGUAAUUUGGUCAAGCAAAAACGCAACAUAAGUCGCACUAGUUCUCUCCACACAUAUAGUUUGGUCAGUACAUCCUGAGGAAAGCACACAGAACAAAGAGAAGGGAACAUGACACCUCUUGCUAGGCACAAGUUAGUUCUGAGAGUAAUUGGAAAUGACAUAUUCAGGGGCCCCAUAACACACUCUCUCCAGAAUUAUUUCGUAGAUGUUUGCCAAAUAACCAUGUUGUUUUGGUUGCUCUCAACCUGAGAAGUUCCAAGUCCAAACAUGAGAACAACAUGUACGGAAACGUUGCAUGGGAAAUAAAUAAAAAUCUACGCACACAUAAGAUCUAUCUAUGGAGAUGACCAUCUACGAGAGGAGAGAUUGGAUCCACCUACCCUUGUAGAUCUCUAAGAGAGAAGCGUUAAGAAAUGCGGUUGAUGUAGUCGAACGUCUUCGGGAUCCAAAUCGCAAGUCGUCCCGCGAUCCAAUCACGAUCUAGCGCCGAACGAACAACACCUCCACGUUCAGCACACGUGCAGCUCGAUGAUGAUCUCCGUCUUCUUGAUCCAGAAAAAGAGACGAAGAGGUAGCUGAAUUCUCUGACAGCACGACGGCGUGACGGCGAUGAUGGUGGAGCUAAUCCAACACGGCUUCGCCGUGCACUACCGGAAUAACCUACGGGGUGUCACGAAGUAGUGGAGGGAGAGGGGUUGCGCCGUGGCUUAAGGUGCGGUAGUCUCUCUCCCCUCCAUUAUAUAUAGGAGGGAGGGAGUGGUGGUGCCCUAGGGAAAACCCCUAGGGUUCGUCCGGCGCACACAAGGAGGGAGGAGUCCUCCUCCAAUUCGGUUUGGUGGAGGAGGAGUCCUCCUAGUGGGUUUGCCCCACCUCCUCUCUCUUUGGCGCAUAGGCCCAUUAGGCUGGCCGCCCAGCCCACUAGGGGUUGGUGUGCCACCUUUUGGGUCUAUGUGGCCCUCUUGAGCUUGCGUUGGUUUUUCCCUUGAAGAGGAAAGGGUGAUGCAGCACAGUAGUAGUAAGUAUUUCCCUCAGUUUGAGAACCAAGGUAUCAAUCCAGUAGGAGUAUCAAGACAAGUCACCAAUGUACCUGUGCAAAAACAAACAAACUUGCACCCAACGCUAUAAAGGCGUUGUCAAUCCCUUCACGAUUAAUUGCAAGGUGAUAUCUGAAGGUGGAAAGUGCAACAAAGUAAAAGUGUAGAGCUGAAAAUAUGAUGUGAAGUAGACCCGGGGGGCCAUAGUGUUCACUAGAGGCUUCUCUCAUGAUAGCAAGUAUUAUGGUGGGUGAACGAAUUACUGUCGAGCAAUUGAUAGAACCGCGCAAAGCCAUGAUGAUAUCUAAGGCAAUGAUCAUACAUAUAGGCAUCACGUCCGAGACAAGUAGACCGAUGCUAUGUGCAUCUACUACUAUUACUCCACACAUCGACCGCUAUCGAGCAUGCAUCUAGGGUAUUGAGUUCAUAACGAACAAAAUAACGCCUUAAGCAAGAUGACAUGAUGUAGAGGGAUAAAUUCAUGCAAUAGAUAUAAACCCCAUCUUUUUACCCUUGAUGGCAACAACACGAUGCGUGCCUCGCUACCCCUUCUGUCACUGGGUGAGGACACCGCACGGUAUGAACCCAAAACCAAGCACUUCUCUCAUUGCAAGAAUUAUAGAUCAAGUUGGCCAAACAAAACCCACAACUCGAACAGAAUUACAAGGAUACGAAAUCAUGCAUAUAAGAGAUCAGAGGAGACUCAAAUAAUAUUCAUAGAUAAUAUGAUCAUAAAUCCACAAUUCAUCGGAUCUCGACGAACACACCGCAAAAGAAGAUUACAUCGGAUAGAUCUCCAUGAAGAUCAUGGAGAACUUUGUAUUGAAGAUCCAAGAGAGAGAAGAAGCCAUCUAGCUACUAGCUAUGGACCCGAAGGUCUGUGGUGAACUACUCACGCAUCAUCGGAGAGGCAAUGGUGUUGAUGAAGAACCAUCCGUGUCCGAAUCCCCCUUCCGGCAGGGCACCAGAACGAUCCCCAGAUGGGAUCUUGCGGAGACAGAAGCUUGCGGCGGCGGAAAAGUUUUUUCGUGGCUCUCUCUCGCAGUUUUGGAUUUUUAGAGAAUUUAUAGGCGGAAGAAGUAGGGCAAAGGAGCCACGGGGGGCCCACAGGCCUGCUAGGCGCCCCCCCGGCCGCGGCUAGUAGGCUUGUGACCUCCCCCGGGGUCCUUUGCCUUGGUUCUCAAGUCCCGUGCGUAUCUUCUGUUAUGGAAAAAAUCAUUCCCCGGGUUUUAUUCCAUUUGGACUCCGUUUAAUAUUCUCCUGUGAAAAAGGUCAAAACACGGAAAAAACAGAAACUGGCACUUGGCACUGAGUUAAUAGGUUAGUCCCAAAAAAGAUAUAAAAUAGCAUAUUCAUGCAUACAAAACAUCCAAAGUUGACAAGAUAAUAGCAUGGAACCAUCAAAACUUAUAGAUACGUUGGAGACGUAUCAAUGUGCUAUGGAACGAGUAAAGAGACUUACCGGUAACGAGAUUGAACAAGGUAUGGGUAUACCGACGAUCGAAUCUCGGGCAAGUUCUAUACCGACAGACAAAGGGAAUUGUAUACGGGAUUGGUUGAAUCCUUGACAUCGUGGUUCAUCCGAUGAGAUCAUCGUGGAACAUGUGGGAGACACAAUGGGUAUCCAGAUCCUGCUGAUGGUUAUUGGCCGGAGAGUGUCUCGGUCAUGUGUGCAUGCCUCCCGAACCCGUAGGGUCUACACACUUAAGGUUCGAUGACGCUAGGGUUAUAGGGAAUUGUUAUACGGGGUUACCUAAGGUUGUUCGGAGUCUCGGAUGAGAUCCCAGACGUCACGAGGAGCUUCGAAAUGGUCCGGAGGUAAAGAUUGAUAUAUAGGAUGGAUGGGUUUGGACACCCACCAUCGGCGAAGUGUCGGGACCAUCGGAAGGGUUCCGGAGGCCCACCGAGAGGGGCCACAAGCCCCGGAAGUCUAUAUGGGCCAAGUGUGGGAGGGAACCAGCCCCUGGGUGGGCUGGUGCGCCCCCACACCCAGCCCAUGGCGCACCAGAGAGGAAGGGGGAACCCUAGGCACUGGUGGGCCUAAGGCCCACCAGGGGUGCGCCACCCCUCUCCUGCCCUGGCUGCCACCCCCCUCUCCCAUCUAGGCUGCCGCCACCCCUAGGGUGGGAACCCUAGAGGUGGCGCACCCCUCCCCUCUCCUCUUAUAAAUAGAGAGGGGUUUGGGGCGGUUGGAGACACAAGUUGAUCUCUCCCUCGGCGCAGCCCUGUCCCUCUUGUUCCUCCUCUCCCACGGUGCUUGGUGAAGCCCUGCCGGGAGACCUCGACUCUCCAUAGGAAGAUCUGAAUAUGGCGUAGGAAAAUUUUGAAUUUAUGCUACGUCCCCAUCAGUGGCAUCAGAGCCAGGUUUUCUAUGCGUAGAUUCCAUGCACGAGUAGAACACAAAAGGUUGUGGGCGCUGAUUUGUCAAUUGCUUGCCACUAUUAGUCUUAUUCUUUUCCGACGGUAUUGUGGGAUGAAGCGGCCUGGACCGACCUUACACGUACGCUUACGUGAGACAAGUUCCAUCGGCCGACAUGCACACCAUGCAUAAAGGUGGCUAGCGGGUGUCUGUCUCUCCCACUCUAGUCGGAUUGGAUUUGAUGAAAAGGGUCCUUAUGAAGGGUAAAUAGCUUUGGCAUAUCAUCGUUGUGGCUGUCACGUAGGUCAGAAGGCGCUCUUGCUAGAAACCCAAGUCAGCCACGUAAAACUUGCAACAACAAUUAGAGGACGUCUAACUUGUUUUUGCAGGGUUUGACAUGUGAUGUGAUAUGGCCAAAGUUGUGAUGUUACAUGUGUGAUGUAUGAGAUGAUCAAGUUAUUGUAAUAGGAUUCACGACUUGCAUGUCGUUGAGUAUGACAACCGGCAGGAGCCAUAGAAGUUGUCUUAAUUUAUUGUAUGAGAUGCAAUGCCAUGUGUUUACUACUUUUACUUCAUUGCUAACGGUUAGCUAUAGUAGUAGUAGUAGUAGUAGUAGUACUAGUAGUAGUAGUAGUAGUAGUAGUAGUAGUUGGCGUGACGACUUCACGGAGACACGAUGACGGUGAUCAUGAUGAUGGAGAUCAUGGUGUCACGCCGGUGACAAUGUGUUGGAAUUAUGCCCUAGAGGCAAUAAUAAAUAUAGUUAUUAUUAUAAUUCCUGUAUCAAGAUAAUCGUUUAUUAUCCAUGCUAUAAUUGUAUUGAAUGAAGACUCAUUUACAUGUGUGGAUACAUAGACAAAACACCGUCCCUAGCAAGCCUCUAGUUGGCUAGCCAGUUGAUCAAAGAUAGUCAGUGUCUUCUGAUUAUGAACAAGGUGUUGUUGCUUGAUAACUGGAUCACGUCAUUAGGAGAAUCACGUGAUGGACUAGACCCAAACUAAUAGACGUAGCAUGUUGAUCGUGUCAUUUUGUUGCUACUGUUUUUCUGCGUGUCAAGUAUUUAUUCGUAUGACCAUGAGAUCAUAUAACUCACUGACACCGGAGGAAUGCUUUGUGUGUAUCAAACGUCGUAACGUAACUGGGUGACUAUAAAGAUGCUCUACAGGUAUCUCCGAAGGUGUUAGUUGAGUUAGUAUGGAUCAAGACUGUGAUUUGUCACUCCGUGUGACGGAGAGGUAUCUUGGGGCCCACUCGGUAAUACAACAUCACACACAAGCCUUGCAAGCAAUGUAACUUAGUGUAAGUUGCGGGAUCUUGUAUUACGGAACGAGUAAAGAGACUUGCCGGUGAACGAGAUUGAAAUAGGUAUGCGGAUAUUAACGAUCGAAUCUCGGGCAAGUAACAUACCGAAGGAUAAAGGGAAUGACAUACGGGAUUAUAUGAAUCCUUGGCACUGAGGUUCAAACGAUAAGAUCUUCGUAGAAUAUGUAGGAUCCAAUAUGGGCAUCCAGGUCCCGCUAUUGGAUAUUGACCGAGGAGUCUCUCGGGUCAUGUCUACAUAGUUCUCAAACCCGCAGGGUCUGCACACUUAAGGUUCGACGUUGUUUUAUGCGUAUUUGAGUUAUAUGGUUGGUUACCGAAUGUUUUUCGGAGUCCCGGAUGAGAUCACGGACGUCACGAGGGUUUCCGGAAUAGUCCGGAAACGAAGAUUGAUAUAUAGGAUGACCUCAUUUGAUUACCGGAAGGUUUUCGGAGUUACCGGGAAUGUACCGGGAAUGACGAAUGGGUUCCGGGAGUUCACCGGGGGGGGGGGGGCAACCCACCCCGGGGAAGCCCAUAGGCCAUAAGGGUGGCGCACCAGCCCUUAGUGGGCUGGUGGGACAGCCCAAAAGGGCCCUAUGCGCCAUACAAAGAAAAAUCAAAGAGAAAGGAAAAAAAARGGGAGGUGGGAAGGAAGGGAAGGACUCCCACCCACCAAACCAAGUCCAACUCGGUUUGGGGGGGGGGACCUUCCCCCCUUGGACUCGGCCGACCCCCUUGGGGCUCUUUGAGCCCCAAGGCAAGGUCCCCUCCCUCCCACCUAUAUAUACGGAGGUAUUGGGGCUGAUUUGAGAUGACUUUUCCACGGCAGCCCGACCACAUACCUCCACGGUUUUUCCUCUAGAUCGCGUUUCUGCAAACUCCAGCGAUCCAUUUAUGGACUGGUGCAAGCAUCUCGGAGUUGGAACAAACGCUUUGAUGAGGUGAUCAAAGCAUUUGGGUUUAUACAAGUGGUUGGAGAAUCUUGUAUUUACAAGAAAGUGAGUGGGAGCUCUGUGGCGUUUCUAAUAUUAUAUGUGAAUGACAUAUUGCUGAUUGGAAACAACGUAGAGUUUUUGGAGAUCAUAAAAGGUUACUUGAAUAAAAGUUUCUCUAUGAAGGACCUACGAGAAGCUGCUUACAUUCUAGGCAUUAAGAUCUAUAGGGAUAGAUCAAAAUGCCUGAUAGGACUUUCACAAAGCACAUACCUUGAUAAAGUUUUGAAGAGGUUCAAAAUGGAACAGUCCAAGAAAGGGUUCUUGCCAGUUCUACAAGGUACGAGAUUGAGUAAGACUCAGUGCCCAGCAACUGAUGAAGAUAGAGAGCAUAUGCGCUCCGUCCCCUAUGCUUGAGCCAUGGGUUCUAUCAUGUAUGCGAUGCUGUGCACUAGACCGGAUGUUAGCCUGGCCAUAAGUAUGGCAGGUAGGUUCCAGAGUAAUCCAGGAGUGGAUCACUGGACAGCGGUCAAGAAUAUCCUGAAGUACCUGAAAAGGACUAAGGAGAUGUUUCUCGUGUAUGGAGGUGACGAAGAGCUCGCCGUAAAAGGUUAUGUCGAUGCAAGCUUUGACACAGAUCCGGAUGACUCUAAGUCGCAAACCGAUACGUAUUUAUUCUUAAUGGGGGUGCGGUAAGCUGGUGCAGUUCCAAGCAAAGCGUCGUAGCAGAUUCUACAUGUGAAGCGGAGUACAUGGCUGCCUUGGGAGGCGGCUAAGGAGGGUGUCUGGAUGAAGCAGUUCAUGACGGAUCUUGGAGUGGUGCCAAGCGCACUGAAUCCAAUAACCUUGUUCUGUAUAACACGGGUGCCAUUGCCUUAGCAAAGGAACCACGGUUUCACAAGAAGACCAGACACAUCAAACGACGCUUCAACCUCAUCCGCGACUACGUCGAGGGAGAGGACGUAAAUAUAUGCAAAGUGCACACGGAUCUGAAUGUAGCAGACCCGCUGACUAAACCUCUUCCACGGCCAAAGCAUGAUCAACACCAGAACUGUAUGGGUGUUAGAUUUAUUACAAUGUAAUUCACAUGAUGAUGUGAGGGCUAGAUUAUUGACUCUAGUGCAAGUGGGAUACUGUUGGAAUUAUGCCCUAGAGGCAAUAAUAAAUAUAGUUAUUAUAAUUCCUGUAUCAAGAUAAUCGUUUAUUAUCCAUGCUAUAAUUGUAUUGAAUGAAGACUCAUUUACAUGUGUGGAUACAUAGACAAAACACCGUCCCUAGCAAGCCUCUAGUUGGUUAGCCAGUUGAUCAAAGAUAGUCAGUGUCUUCUGAUUAUGAACAAGGUGUUGUUGCUUGAUAACUGGACCACGUCAUUAGGAGAAUCACGUGAUGGACUAGACCCAAACUAAUAGACGUAGCAUGUUGAUCGUGUCAUUUUGUUGCUACUGUUUUUUUGCGUGUCAAGUAUUUAUUCCUAUGACCAUGAGAUCAUAUAACUCACUGACACCGGAGGAAUGCUUUGUGUGUAUCAAACGUCGCAACGUAACUGGGUGACUAUAAAGAUGCUCUACAGGUAUCUCCGAAGGUGUUAGUUGAGUUAGUAUGGAUCAAGACUGGGAUUUGUCACUCCGUGUGACGAAGAGGUAUCUCGGGGCCCACUCGGUAAUACAACAUCACACACAAGCCUUGCAAGCAAUGUAACUUAGUGUAAGUUGCGGGAUCUUGUAUUACGGAACGAGUAAAGAGACUUGCCGGUGAACGAGAUUGAAAUAGGUAUGCGGAUACUGACGAUCGAAUCUCGGGCAAGUAACAUACCGAAGGAUAAAGGGAAUGACAUACGGGAUUAUAUGAAUCCUUGGCACUGAGGUUCAAACGAUAAGAUCUUCGUAGAAUAUGUAGGAUCCAAUAUGGGCAUCCAGGUCCUGCUAUUGGAUAUUGACCGAGGAGUCUCUCGGGUCAUGUCUACAUAGUUCUCGAACCCGCAGGGUCUGCACACUUAAGGUUCGACGUUGUUUUAUGCGUAUUUGAGUUAUAUGGUUGGUUACCGAAUGUUGUUCGGAGUCCCGCGUGAGAUCACGGACGUCACGAGGGUUUCCGGAAUAGUCCGGAAACGAAGAUUGAUAUAUAGGAUGACCUCAUUUGAUUACCGGAAGGUUUUCGGAGUUACCGGGAAUGUACCGGGAAUGACGAAUGGGUUCCGGGAGUUCACCGGGGGGGGCAACCCACCCCGGGGAAGCCCAUAGGCCAUAAGGGUGGCGGCACCAGCCCUUAGUGGGCUGGUGGGACAGCCCAAAAGGGCCCUAUGCGCCAUACAAGAAAAAUCAAAGAGAAAGGAAAAAAAAAGGGAGGURGGGAAGGAAGGGAAGGACUACCCGACCCACCAAACCAAGUCCAACUCGGUUUGGGGGGGGGAGCCUUCCCCCCUUGGACUCGGCCAACCCCCUUGGGGCUCCUUGAGCCCCAAGGCAAGGUCCCCUCCCUCCCACCUAUAUAUACGGAGGUAUUGGGGCUGAUUUGAGAUGACUUUUCCACGGCAGCCCGACCACAUACCUCCACGGUUUUUCCUCUAGAUCGCGUUUCUGCGGAGCUCGAGCGGAGCCCUGCUGAGACAAGGUCAUCACCAACCUCCGGAGCGCCAUCACGAUGCCGGAGAACUCUUCUACCUCUCCGUCUCUCUUGCUGGAUCAAGAAGGCCGAGAUCAUCGUCGAGCUGUACGUGUGCUGAACGCGGAGGUGCCGUCCGUUCGAUACUAGAUCGUGGGACUGAUCGCGGGAUUGUUCGCGGGGCGGAUCGAGGGACGUGAGGACGUUCCACUACAUCAACCGCGUUCACUAAUGCUUCUGCUGUACGAUCUACUAGGGUACGUAGAUCACUCAUCCCCUCUCGUAGAUGGACAUCACCAUGAUAGGUCUUCGUGCGCGUAGAAUUUUUUUUGUUUCCCAUGCGACGUUCUCCAACACAAUGAUGAUCAUGCGAUGCCCGAAGAUGGAGAUCCAAAGAGCAAAGAUGACAAUGGCCAUAUCAUGUCAGUAUAUGAUUGCAUGUGAUGUUUAUCAUGUUUUUCAUCUUAUUGCUUAGAACGAUGGUAGCAUAAUAAGAUGACCCCUCAUUAAAAUUUCGAGAACGUAUUCCCCCAAGUGUGCACCAUUGCGAAGGAUCGUUGUCUCAAAGCACCACGUGAUGAUCGGGUGUGAUAGAUUCUAACGUUCGCAUACAACGGGUGUAAGCCAGAUUUACACACGUGAAACACUUAGGUUGACUCGGCGAGCUUAGCAUGUACACACAUGACCUCGAAUACAAGAGACCGAAAGGUCGAACAUGAGUCGUAUGGUUGAAUACGAUCAACAUGAAGUUGCUCACCAUUACGACUAGUCCGUCUCACAUGAUGAUCGGACACGGAUCAACAUGAAGUUGCUCAACAUGGAUCAUGUAUCACUUAGAUGACUAGAGGGAUGUCGAUUUAAGUGGGAGUUCAUACUUAAUUUGAUUAAAUGAACUUAAUUCUCAUGAACUUAGUCUAAAAGUUGUCUUUACAAAUAUUGUAGAUCCAAUGGCCAACGCACCUGUCAACCUCAAUUUCAACGCAUUCCUAGAGAAAAACAAGCUGAAAGAUGAUGGUAGCAACUAUGCGGACUAGGUCCGCAACUUGAAGCUCAUCCUCGAAGCAGCUAAAAAGGCUUAUGUCCUUAAUGCACCGCUAGGUGACCCUCCUGCUCCCGCAGCGGCCCAGGACAUUCAGAACGUCUGGCAGACGUGGAGUUAUGACUACUCUCUGGUUAGGUGUGGCAUGUUAUACAGUUUGGAAACAGGGCUCCAAAGGCGUUUUGAGCAAUACAGAGCAUAUGAGAUGUUCCAGGAGCUGAAACUAGUUUUUCAAGCUCAUGCCCGUGUUGAGAGAUAUGAAGUCUCCGACAAGUUCUUUAGCUGUAAGAUGGAGGAGAACAGUUCUGUUAGUGAGCAUAUACUGAGAAUGUCUGGGUUACACGGACGUCUGACUUUGCUUGGAGACGAACUUCCGGAUGACGCUGUAAUUGACAGAAUCCUCCGGUCUCUCCCUCCAAGAUACAAGGGUUUUGUGCUGAAAUACAACAUGCAAGGGAUCGAGAAGACCAUUCCCGAGUUGUACUCGAUGCUGAAAUCUGCAGAAGUAGAAAUCGAGAAAGAGCAUCAAGUGUUGAUGGUCAACAAGACCACCAGUUUCAAGAAGGCGAAGGGUAAGAAGAACUUCAAGAAAGACGGCAAAGCCGUUGCCGCACCCAGUAAGCCAGAUACCAGGUAGAAGAAAAAGAAUGGAUCCAAGCCUGAGACUGAGUGCUUCUACUGCAAGGGAAAAGGUCACUGGAAGCGGAACUGCCCCAAGUACUUAGCGGACAAGAAGGCUGACAACGUUAAAGGUAUAUAUGAUAUACAUAUUAUUGAUGUGUACCUUACCACCACUCGUAGUAGCUCCUGGGUAUUUGAUACCGGUGUUGUUGCUCACAUUUGCAACUCAAAGCAGGAACUGCGGAAUAAGCGGAGACUGGCCAAGGGCGAGGUGACAAUGCACGUCGGGAAUGGCUCCAAGGUCGAUGUGAUUGUCGUUGGCACGCUGCCUCUACAUCUACCAUCGGGAUUAGUUUUAAACCUUAAUAAUUGUUAUUUAGUACCAUCUUUGAGCAUGAAUAUUGUAUCAGGGUCUUGCUUAAUGCGAGAGGGCUACUCAUUUAAGUCAGAAAAUAAUGGUUCUUCUAUUUAUAUGAGUGAUAUGUUUUAUGGACAUGCUCUGCUGGUGAAUGGUUUAUUCUUGAUGAAUCUCGAUCGUGAUGUUACACAUUUUCAUAGUGUGAGUACCUGUCACGCCCAAGAUGCGACCCUAUCCUCAAUUUGGCACGGGGGGCUCGCCAGGGAUAGAAGCGCAUCUCGUCGUGUCGCAAGAAUGUAUAUCGAUACAAGUACAUGUACUGAAAAGAAGAGAUAUACAGAUAGAAUUGGCAUACACUCGCCACAAGCUACAUCAGAGUAACAACAGUACAAUACAUAAUCAUCAUGAAGAAGAGCAGGGUCCGACUACGGAUGAAAACAAACAAUAAAAGAAGAACGACGUCCAUCCUUGCUAUCCCAGGCUACCGGCCUGGAACCCGUCCUAGAUCGAUGAAGAAGAAGAAGAAGAAGCAACUCCAAAUGAACAAUCAACGCGCUCGCGUCAAGUAACCUUUACCUAUACCUGCAACUGGUGUUGUAGUAAUCUGUGAGCCACAGGGGACUCAGCAAUCUCAUUUCCAAAGGUAUCAAGACUAGCAAAGCUUAAUAGGUGAGGUAUGGUUAAGUGGUGAGGUUGUAGCAGCGGCUAAGCAUAUAUUUUGGUGGCUAAACUUACGAGUACAAGGAAUAAAAGGGGGAAGAUCUACGCAUAGCGGACGUGAUCUACGGUUGAUCAAAUGAAUGAUCCUGAACACCUACCUACGUCAGACAUAACCCCACCGUGUCCUCGAUCGGAGAAGGAACUUCGAAUGAGACAGUCACGGUUACGCACACAGUUGGCAUAUUUUAAUUAAGUUAACUUCAAGUUAUCUAGAACCAGUGUUAGACAAAGUUUCCAUGUUGCCACAUAACUGCGGGCACGGCUUUCCGAAAAGAUUUAACACUGCAGGGGUGCUCCAACUAGUCCAUCACAAAUUACCACAAGCUGCAUAGAAAUCCUCAAUCAUGAAGCUCGUGAUCUCGUCGGAUUCCCUAGUGGAAAACCUCAACUCUGAGAUUACCCAAAGCAUCACCGGAAUCCCGAUGCACAAGAUAUUUCAUCAAAGGUAAAACUAAUCCACCAAGGCCGCCCAACGUGUCGACGAUCCCGAUAGGAGCCGCGUAUCUCGUUCUCAGGACACGACGGAUGAGCGAUGGUUACCACGCCAAACGCCGAGUUGCCCCGGGUAGCGUUAAUAAGCUGCUCUGUUUUGGACCAACACUCAUGAGGAGCACUCGCCCGGGGGUUGAUUAAAUUAUCCUCGGGGUCCGGAAAGUCCCUAUGCAAUUUUAUUAGGUGAUUAGGCAAAUGUAGUACCAAAGUUGGGCCUUGCCAGACCAGCUUUAAUCUAAAACGAAUUAUCAAGGGGGUCCCCAUAACAACCCCGAUCGUGUCAGGAGUGCACAAUUAUGGAACAUAACACCGGUAGCCGAAACUAAGGGGGCAAAGGUGGAACAUAACACCAGGCUAGAAAGGCCGAGCCUUCCACCUUUUACCAAGUAUAUAGGUGCAUUAAAUUAAAUAGCAUUAAUAUGGUGAUAUAACAAGGAACCCAUGUAAUCACAUAGAAGCAAGUGCACCAGCAACUAGCAACGCUAACACAAGGUUAAGUGGUGAGGUUGCAGCAGCGGCUAAGCAUAUAUUUUGGUGGCUAAACUUACGAGUACAAGGAAUAAAAGGGGGAAGAUCUAUGCAUAGCGGACGUGAUCUACGGUUGAUCAAAUGAAUGAUCCUGAACAAUGGUUAAACAUGGCAAGAGGUGAAGCGCAAUUAAACUACCUAUCUAGGCAUAUUUAAAUGAGGUCAGAAAUGACAUAUAGCACCUCCGAAACGACCUCACAAGUUAAUUUACAAUUCUGUCCAGAUCUGAACUAACACAUUUAAAUUGGUUGUUAAACAGCAACACAAAUAGGUUUACGUGAUUCUACGCGUUGUUACAAGCAAUUUACACAUAGAGAACAUCUCCAACGGAGCUACGGUUCAAAAGAUACAAGCACCGCAAGAUAUGAUGGCAUGAAUGCAAUAUGUGUGCAACGACGGUCACGAGCACUUCAAAACAUACAACCAGCAAGAUAAAAUGAAACUACACGAGAUUCUAAGCAAGUUUCACGUAGGACACGAUCAAAUCGGAGCCACGGUUCAACAACUACGAGCAAAACAAGAAAUCUCUACGAUCUGCCAAAAUCAGCCACAUAGCAUUUUCUAUACCCCACAACUACGAGCUACACAACUCCGAUAUACUCAACCAAGACACGGAACGAAGGAGGGCAAGAAGCACUACAACAAACAACUAACAACAACUAGCAUGGCAUCAUGAAUCACUAGGGAAAGAAGUCACAAAAUGGCAUCUCACACACUAUUUCAGACUUAGUGAAAAUUACACCUCACGAAAGUGCAGUUUUCGAUCUGAAGGCAUAUUGACAGCAGCAAAACCUAUAGCUACAGGACUCCAAAUGGCAUGAAAAUUCACAGCAUGCUAGAGAAACACAAGGUUAACAAGUAACUCCAUUGGACCAACCUCAAAAGAGCUACAGAUCACAAGAUAGAAGCAAAACAAAACAGCAACAAAAUAUAACAGAUUCCAGACUAAGAAAUAUUUCAGCUACUCCAAAACAGCACUAUUUCUAGCAACUUGAGAGCAAGCAAACCACACCUAAACAUGCAUUUCUAUUCCAACUAAAAAUACCAGGGGCUAGACUAAACAUCAAAGAACAACUCCCUAGUUGACAACUUAAUUAAACGAAGCACGAAAUAAAUCCUACGAAAAUGACAAGAGGGCAACAUGGCAAAAUAUCGCGCGAACUAACUUGCUCAAAAGAUAAAACUAAUUGCACAGAAAAAUCAUAUGGAUUUUUCUACCCCGGAAACAUAUAAAAUAUGUGGGGUUGCGCAACAAAAAUAAUGCCACACGAAAACGCAAGAUAUAAACCUAAACACGAAAAAUAAACUAGCGGCAAUGCCUACACGCAAAUAUACAAAUGACCGCUCUAAAAUACAUGGAAAAUAGGUUCCUAAAACAUGGACAUUUCUACUACGACAUUCGGGCUAACCGGACUCGCGCAAAAAAUAAAUACGGGCACCAUCCUAUCUAGACAGCACGUAAACCUAGGCAUUAGGCACGCUAAACUAAAUCAAACAAAUAUGCAAGUCGCACAAACGUAAUCUACGCGUAAAACUACAUGAAAUCCAUAUGCUACACGCCUCGUUCCGACACACGGUUAAAAGUUACGGGCAAAAGAAUAAUCGUCUAUUUCCUGGAAUUUAACUAAACCGAAAAAAACUACAUUAACUAACGGGCCUAACAGAGAGGGCGCAACCACUAUCCGACGCCUAGUGCGCGAAAUAGGCAGGCAAGGGGGGGAUUCACCUGAGGGCCACAUGGGCCAGGUCAGCGAGGUGAUUGGGCCGAGGGGCUCUACGGGAGGAGGCCGGCCCACAGGGGCAAGCUGGCCUUGCGGGAANNNNNNNNNNNNNNNNNNNNNNNNNNNNNNNNNNNNNNNNNNNNNNNNNNNNNNNNNNNNNNNNNNNNNNNNNNNNNNNNNNNNNNNNNNNNNNNNNNNNGCCUCACGCGAUGAAAAAAACAAAAAACGAGUUUUUUUCCUUCCGUAGUAGGCACGGGCCGUAGCCUACUUCGCGAAAGGCAAAACCAUAGGACCUCCCGUGGAAGCAAAAUCGUGCAAUACUACACGGUAAAAAAGAGAGCAAAAAACGCGUUUUUUUCCUUUUCGGAAGAGGCACGGGCGUGCCUCUCGUAAAGAUAAAACCGUGCCUUUUACGGAAGCAAAACCGUGCCUCUCACAAAAAAAUAGAAAACGCGCUUUUUUCCCUUUCGGGAGAGGCACGGGCGUUCCUUUCGCGGAAGCAAAACCGUGCCUCUCGUAAAAAAACGCGUUUUUCCUUCCGAAAGGCACGGGCGUGCCUUUACGGAAAGGCAAAACCGUGCCUUUCGUGCAAGCAAAACCGUGUCUCUCGCAAAAAAAAUGAAAACGCAUUUUUUUACUUUCCGAAAGGCACGGUUGUGCCUCUCGCGAAGGCAAGACCGUGCCUUUUGUUGAAGCAAAACUGUGCCUAUCCUAAAAAAAACAGAAAAAUCGCAUAAAAAACACGUUUUUUCGCACAAAAAAAAUUCAUCCAAAAGUUACGAAAGACCAGUGAAAAAACAUAACACUACAAAAAUCGGAAAAAACCCACUCAAAAAAAGAGAAAACGCGUGCGGAAAAAUAAAAAAACAAAAUCCAAAGAAAACGCUCAGAACGCGACACGUGGCGCCGGCUGGAAACACGCCACGGAAGCGAUCGCUGAAAGGCUCGCGAGGGAGCGCUCCCUAACUAGUUGCUCCCGAUUAAACGGUUCAAUCCAUGGCACGUUUUGUUAAGGACCAACUUACACUACGGAAUUACAUACGGUGAAAUAGCUAGACCAUCAUGGAUACAAAUAACAGUAGAGAGGGGCCAGAGGUAGGAGAAGAAGAGAGCCAUUGUGUCGUUGCGUGAUCUUUCAUGGAUGACUCGUCCAUCCCAUUGGCCCUCGUACUUGUUGUUGUUGCUGUAAUGGACAGACUGGGCCUAGCCCAUCACCAACAGCCCAAGAUGGGAAGGGGGCUCACAUCCCCUUUCCCUUGACAGCCGGCUUGUCCUCAAGCCGAUAGCGAGUAUCUGGAGGCAGAAGGGUGUGCAUCAUGUGUUGCUUCUUCGCUGAUUCAAGUAUCAUGCACGAUCCAGUCGCCGACAUCCCUCCUUCUGUGAGACUUGACUUGACCCCAAGUUGUCGUCGCUGCCGAGGACACUUGGAUCCCAUGGCGUUUGAUGUUCCUCGGCUUGGUUGAAGCCGCGGCGAUAGCCAAAGUCAAGGUAGACUGCAACGAUGGAGAGGUAGUAGUUUUGGCCGAUGAAAAUCCCGUCGAAGCAGAUGUCGAGGAAGUUGUCCCUUCCGGUAGAGUCUUGGUCGACUGAACUUUCCUCCAGGAUCCCAAAACAUGGGUAGAACAAGUGCUAGGAGCUGCUGAAACUCGUCUGUGGCACAAAUAGGUUCGCAAUUGACAUGUGAUUGAAAUCGCAAUAUAUGGAGCCGAGAAAUCAGGGCGUUUGAUCUCUGGCCCAAUAUGUUUAGAACACAUGAUAGUGGUCUGUCAAAUAGCAAUGUCGUCAACACCCUGUGCUAGCGUAGAAAGGAUGCAUCCGAGGUAUUAUCCCAUAAGAAGUCUUAUCACGGCACUUCUCCAAAUCAAUUCGAAUAUAAGACAAACGUGCUAACAUAUGGAUGCUUAGGCAUAAACAAUUGUUGCUCUUGAAUUCCUUGUUGUGUACUGCUUUUGUGUGCACUCCCUUCCUGUGAACGCUCUCAAUAGGCUCUUUAGUGGAACUAGUAAAAUAUACGUGCAACGCACUUAACGCAUGUCUUAUGAACACAUCUUAUAUAAAACCUAACAAAUUCCAGCCAACUAUAUCAUUAACUUCUUGAACUUUCACACGAAGUGCAUAGUAUCUAAUUUUUUUCUCGUGGAAAUAAUUUGAAACAUCACUCUUCAUAAAUAAACAUUCCUUUUAAAACAAAUAUCACACAUCUUUGCAUCAAUUAUAUAAUAUCUUAUCGAAAUGCACACUUUCCCAAUGCGUAGUGCCCAAACAAUUAUAAUGCAUUGUAAAUAAAUUUCAGUAUGUGAGCAAACUCUCCAGGCUAGCUUCGAACAAUGAAAGUCGGGUCAAAUAUACAACCAUUUGAUUUUUUAAUUAUAUUAGUAUUACAAUAUAAUUCAGUCAGAAAUUAGAUUUCCCUAGUGGGAUAAUGGACCAUUUAAAAGGUACAUGUCAAUUCUGCGUACACAUAUAAACAAAGUAGCAUUCAGAUAAGAAUUGUUUUCGUAUCAACAAAAUUAAGUGAAGAACUAUUAGAAAAAUCAAGUUUCAUCCAAAAAAAUGAGAAGAUGCCAUUGUCAAACUUUAAUGGUAACUAUCUUGAGCAACUAUGAAGACUGACAAAAGGAAAUGCCACACUAUAUGCUUCUUAUGAAUAUUGAUAUGUAAAAAAAAUCUGACAACAAAAUUUACCAAUUGAAUGCAAGGAUGACAUAUGAUAUUCAUUGACAGUGAAGAAUCAACAAAUCGCGGUUCUGCUCCUUCUUGGUCCUCAUCUCGUGGUCCAUGACCGUCACGCGGUUGGCCUUGGCCACGAUCUCCAUUGCCGGCUGCGCCCCCAACACGCUGUACCUUCCCUGUAGAUUGCAGAUUGCAGACCAACCAACAACCCGGCACGGGACAAAUUCAAAUGAUUCUGAUUUCAUCUUGGGGAGGAUAUGAACGGAUAACGAAUCAGCGAAUCCUGAGGCUGUACGGGCAAUGGUAGGGACGGACCACAUUGGUGCCCUCGGAUGCCUGCUCAACGGACUCGAAGAGGAAGUUGGGCGCCUCGCGGUCGUCCUCCCGGACGAAGGCAGCGGUAGGCCAACACUGACGUGAGGUGGUCGGAGAAGAUGCAGUGCCGGAGGGGCAGCAGCGUGUGCCCCGCCGCCGCCGACGACCUGAAGGCCCUCCUCCUCCUCCCGUACCGCUGCACAACCCGCAUUCAGUCAGCCAGUCAAUCAACAAUGGCGGCCUCGGGAAGGUCGGCCGGGGGGAUAAGUAAGACUGGGCUCACCGACGGCGUCGAGCUUCUGGAAGGCGGUGUCGGCACGACACACGACGCCGGGGCGCGUCGNNNNNNNNNNNNNNNNNNNNNNNNNNNNNNNNNNNNNNNNNNNNNNNNNNNNNNNNNNNNNNNNNNNNNNNNNNNNNNNNNNNNNNNNNNNNNNNNNNNNAAAGGGUGAUGCAGCAAAGUAGAGAUAAGUAUUCCCUCAGUUUGAGAACCAAGUUAGCAAUCCMSYAGRASUAKUGAGCCCCUCCUCGAUAGUCAUCAUCUUGGUAGCAGCGUCAACAUCCAGUGAAGGCCCCGUAGGGGCGACCGUGUGCUCAACCUCCAUGGCAACGUCGGCGUCGUUAGAGACCGCCAAGGCUGCCGCGUAUGGGCACAGCUGACGUCGCGGAUACGUCCAUUUUGCAUCAUGUUUUCAUGUUGAUAUUUAUCGCUUUUUGGGCUGUUAUUUCACUUCAGGGUACAAUACUUAUGCCUUUUCUCUCUUAUUUUGCAAGGUUUACAUGAAGAGGGAGAAUGCCGGCAGCUGGAAUUCUGGCCUGAAAAAGGAGCAAGUUUGAGAUACCUAUUCUGCGCAACUCCAAACGCCGUAAAAAUCAACGAGGAUUUUUUUCGGGAAUUAUAAAAAAUACUGGGACGAAGAAGUGCCACAGGGGCGCCAACAGGUGGCCACAAGCCUGCUAGGCGCGGCCACCCCCCUGGCCGCGCCUAGGGGGCUUGUGGGCACCCAGCUAGCCCUCUGGUUCCCCCCUUUGGCUACAAGAAGGGUUUCGUCCAGAAAAAAAUCAGGAGGAGGCUUUUUUCGUGGAUUCGCCGAUGCCACGAGGCGGAACUUGAGCAGAACCAAUCUAGAGCUCCGGCAGGACCAUCCUGCCGGGGAAACUUCCCUCCCGGAGGGGGAAAUCGUCGCCAUCGUCAUCACCAACACUCCUCUCAUCGGAGGGGACUCGUCACCAUCAACAUCUUCAUCAG